AANACGCUGCGGCAGGCCUAACACAUGCAAGUCGGGCGGUAACAGAGAUAGCUUGCUAUCUGCUGACGAGCGGCGGACGGGUGAGUAAUGCAUAGGAAUCUGCCUGGUAGUGGGGGAUAGCCCAGAGAAAUUUGGAUUAAUACCGCAUACGCCCUACGGGGGAAAGCUGGGGACCUUCGGGCCUAGCGCUAUCAGAUGAGCCUAUGUCGGAUUAGCUUGUUGGUGAGGUAACGGCUCACCAAGGCGACGAUCCGUAGCUGGUCUGAGAGGAUGAUCAGCCACACUGGGACUGAGACACGGCCCAGACUCCUACGGGAGGCAGCAGUGGGGAAUAUUGGACAAUGGGCGCAAGCCUGAUCCAGCCAUGCCGCGUGUGUGAAGAAGGCCUUCGGGUUGUAAAGCACUUUCAGCUGAGGAGGAAAGGGGUGCUGCUAAUAUCANCGCCCUGUGACGUUACUCGCAGAAGAAGCACCGGCUAACUNCGUGCCAGCAGCCGCGGUAAU
Molecule: ribosomal RNA, 503 nt
Filed under: uncultured bacterium
Lineage: Bacteria
Description: bacterial SSU rRNA
Rfam family: Bacterial small subunit ribosomal RNA
Source: RNAcentral